AUUGUUAAGGGUGCGGAGUGCGGAGCAUCACGUGCGCCAUCUAUUGUACAAUGGACGGCUGCAUGUAGUCGCACACGCGCACGUACGGUCGCAUGCGCCAUCCAUCAUGCAAUGGAUGGCGCACGCAGUGUAAUACACAGUGCGGUGCACUGUAGAGGAUCUGUGCGCGAUUGUUAAAUGAUACUUAAACCAUGAGGUAGAAUCAAUUUACCUAUGACUUUUUUCGGAAACAAUAGACCUACACAUAAUAUGAGAAUGGAGAGCUGCCAAA
RNAcentral lists this long non-coding RNA (271 nucleotides) under Elaeis guineensis (African oil palm). Its description in RNAcentral is "long non-coding RNA (EGUI_LNC002613)". The record is from RNAcentral. Lineage: Eukaryota; Viridiplantae; Streptophyta; Magnoliopsida; Arecales; Arecaceae.